CAUCACUACUGGCCAGCGGCGGAGUGUGCACGAUCCGGGAGUGCUGAAGACGUUCUGCGCGGUUUUGAUGGGUGCGCGGCCACAAAUGGGCGGCGACCGCUUCUUCCAGUGGCAGGAGCUUCACAUAUCCUUUUUCCUAAGCGCCCUCAACAAAUAGAGCGUUAACUGUUCCUCUAAGGUGUUCUUCACAUCUAAAGUGUGUGCAGAUAAGUGUGUACCAGGGAUCCAUCAGAUAGAUGAAGGGACGUUGUCUCUCCACUGCUGUGACACUGACCUUUGCAAUGCAGCAGAUGGAGUGUUUAAGGGAAGCUUCCUCCUGCUCUUCUCUCCUCUGCUCUUCUACUUCCUGUUUCAGUGAGUCCAGAUUCAAGACUUCAGAUUCUACAGUGAAGAUCAGCACAAAAACUGAAUAUGAGACACAAUUGAUUUAAUUUACUGAAUAAAGCUUGUUUGUUGCUCUGCUGUUCUUUGGUUUGAGGAACUGAAAGUGCUGAUGCAGUAGUUAUCUUAAUAAAAUACAUUAAGAUAACUACUGCAUCAGCGCUCACAGAUUUAUACAUUUCCCAUACAUAAAAUAAAAGUUAUUAUAGAAUGUAAUAAAGAAUUAAGGAACAAGAGUGUGCUAAACUGCUGUAUAAAAAUAUUUACAUACCUGUUUGUAUUACACAUCUUUCUCGGUUAUUUCUGUGACUGGAAAUUUGUUGUUCAACUAGUAAAGUUUUAAAAGGUUGAAAUGCAUGACUAUAAUACAAAACUGCUCACAUUUACAUUUAAGAUAUUUAGAUUUUAUCCAGAAAGACUGCAAAAUUGUUCAUGUGAUCUGAAAUGAUGCAAUAUUAUGAACUGAAAUAACCCAAAAAUAAUCAUAAGUUGUAUUAUUUAGUUUGUCCGUGAUGGACUGGCCAUCUGUCCAGGGUUUUGGGAUAGGCUCCACAAUCCCACAAACCUACUUUUUGUAAUAA
This is a long non-coding RNA of Megalobrama amblycephala (Wuchang bream), 962 nucleotides long. RefSeq lists it as uncharacterized. The transcript is spliced from 3 exons. The record is from RefSeq and is a predicted model, not a curated record. NCBI's taxonomy places the organism in Eukaryota, Metazoa, Chordata, Actinopteri, Cypriniformes, Xenocyprididae.